CCUGACCCAGCAACGCCGCGUGAAGGAUGAAAUCCCUCUGGGAAUGUAAACUUCGAAAGUCGGGAAAGAAAUCGCCAUGGAGAAUACCUGUGGUGGAUGACGGUACCCGACGUAAGCCCCGGCUAACUACGUGCCAGCAGCCGCGGUAAUACGUAGGGGGCAAGCGUUGUUCGGAAUUACUGGGCGUAAAGGGCGCGUAGGCGGCAUGGCAAGUCGGGAGUGAAAGCCCGGGGCUCAACCCCGGAACUGCUUUCGAAACUGCCAAGCUAGAGUACGGAAGGGGCAACUGGAAUUCCCAGUGUAGCGGUGAAAUGCGUAGAUAUUGGGAAGAACACCGGAGGCGAAGGCGGGUUGCUGGGCCGAUACUGACGCUGAGGCGCGAAAGCCAGGGGAGCAAACGGGAUUAGAUACCCCGGUAGUCCUGGCCCUAAACGAUGGAUACUUGGUGUGUGGGGUUCUCAAAGUCCCCGCGUGCCGGAGCUAACGCGUUAAGUAUCCCGCCUGGGGAGUACGGUCGCAAGGCUG
RNAcentral lists this ribosomal RNA (525 nucleotides) under uncultured Acidobacteriota bacterium. RNAcentral's name for it is "bacterial SSU rRNA". It matches the Rfam family "Bacterial small subunit ribosomal RNA", at positions 382 to 896 of the family's 1533-position model. The record is from RNAcentral. Lineage: Bacteria; Pseudomonadati; Acidobacteriota.